ACCACCUGGCCACUCUCUUUUUGUUCUCCUCAAUGCUGAUCAGGGCCCUCAAUCGCUGACUUGCCAAAUCAUUGAGCUCUCCCUUCAUAAGUAAGGAAUAGUCAUCGGCUGUCAACUGAUCUUGAAGCGAUGUACGUCUUGACCCCGUUCUUAACUCCCAAGGCAAUACUGCUUCAUGACCAUAUACCAAUUGAUAAGGGGAUAUCUUAGUAGCCCCGUGGCAGGC
RNAcentral lists this long non-coding RNA (226 nucleotides) under Setaria viridis. RNAcentral's name for it is "long non-coding RNA (SVIR_LNC005426)". The record is from RNAcentral. Lineage: Eukaryota; Viridiplantae; Streptophyta; Magnoliopsida; Poales; Poaceae.